AUUGAACGCUGGCGGAAUGCUUUACACAUGCAAGUCGAACGGCAGCACGGACUUCGGUCUGGUGGCGAGUGGCGAACGGGUGAGUAAUACAUCGGAACGCGUCCUGUAAUGGGGGAUAACCUGGCGAAAGCCAGGCUAAUACCGCAUACGUCCUGAGGGAGAAAGCGGGGGAUCGCAAGACCUCGCGUUAUAGGAGCGGCCGAUGUCGGAUUAGCUAGUUGGUGGGGUAAAGGCCUACCAAGGCGACGAUCUGUAGCGGGUCUGAGAGGACGGCCCGCCACACUGGGACUGAGACACGGCCCAGACUCCUACGGGAGGCAGCAGUGGGGAAUUUUGGACAAUGGGGGCAACCCUGAUCCAGCCAUUCCGCGUGAGUGAAGAAGGCCUCGG
Molecule: ribosomal RNA, 390 nt
Filed under: uncultured bacterium
Lineage: Bacteria
Description: bacterial SSU rRNA
Rfam family: Bacterial small subunit ribosomal RNA
Source: RNAcentral